This 228-nucleotide long non-coding RNA is filed under the name Medicago truncatula (barrel medic). RNAcentral describes it as "long non-coding RNA (MTRU_LNC000324)". The record is from RNAcentral. Lineage: Eukaryota; Viridiplantae; Streptophyta; Magnoliopsida; Fabales; Fabaceae.
CUAUAUGAGGACGGGGACCUUGAUCUAUUGUGACUCAACGAGUGUCUGGGGGAUCUGGGACUCAAUGGGAGUGGGCUCCUUCCCCUUAUGCUACGUUGUGGGGAAGGAGGUCGAGCGUUAUGUAGAGGGGCUAGGGACCUAUUUUGGGUAACGGUUGGAUAAUGGAGUCGAAGUUGGAUCCUCGAUCAUUUCCUUGAUGCGCCUAUUAUGAUCCUCAAUCAUUUCCGU